AGUGAACGCUGGCGGUAGGCCUAACACAUGCAAGUCGAACGGCAGCACAGUAAGAGCUUGCUCUUACGGGUGGCGAGUGGCGUACGGGUGAGGAAUACAUCGGAAUCUACUUUUUCGGGGGGGAUAACGUAGGGAAACUUACGCUAAUACCGCAUACGACCUACGGGUGAAAGAAGGGGAUCUUCGGACUUUGCGCGAUUGAAUGAGCCGAUGUCGGAUUAGCUAGUUGGCGGGGUAAAGGCCCACCAAGGCGACGCUCCGUAGCUGGUCUGAGAGGAUGAGCAGCCACACUGGAACUGAGACACGGUCCAGACUCCUACGGGAGGCAGCAGUGGGGAAUAUUGGACAAUGGGCGCAAGCCUGAUCCAGCCAUACCGCGUGGGUGAAGAAGGCCUUCGGGUUGUAAAGCCCUUUUGUUGGGAAAGAAAAGCAGCAGGUUAAUACCCCGCUGUUCUGACGGUACCCAAAGAAUAAGCACCGGCUAACUUCGUG
Molecule: ribosomal RNA, 492 nt
Filed under: uncultured bacterium
Lineage: Bacteria
Description: partial 16S ribosomal RNA
Rfam family: Bacterial small subunit ribosomal RNA
Source: RNAcentral